CCAGGGCUACGCUCAGCAAGCAUCAGGCGAGAGGAAGCCCUGCUAGUGCAGCAAUGACUCACCUGCUUCCUCCGAGCGAAUGAAACCCAGGAGCUUCUGGCAGAGGAUGAGGAGGAGGCACAGGCUGGAUUUGCAGAAGUGAGGCAGCCGGUGCUUUCCCAGCCAGGCCAGCAGAGCUGGGGGGCUGGGAUCCUGCAUUGCACCCCACGCCCAAGGAGAGGAUGAGGCAGUGAGCAAGGAGCUGACUCUUGCAUGGGGAUUAGGGUCAUCGCCGGCUUUGCUCUGCCUUUGCAAGCCCUCCGGUCACCACCCCUCAGCCACCCUUGACCCUGGCAGCACCUUCAAAGGCAGCAUGCUGCGGAGCCUGCAAUGUUUGCUCGCUUAUCGGGUGGGCAGCCUCCCACUGCGCUCCUGGGGACACCGCUUGGCCACCACUGCCCACGCAAGGUCAGUCCCCUGGCGCCGUGCUGAG
This 472-nucleotide long non-coding RNA is filed under the name Gallus gallus (chicken). RNAcentral describes it as "long non-coding RNA NONGGAT008809". The record is from RNAcentral. Lineage: Eukaryota; Metazoa; Chordata; Aves; Galliformes; Phasianidae.